Molecule: ribosomal RNA, 484 nt
Filed under: uncultured bacterium
Lineage: Bacteria
Description: partial 16S ribosomal RNA
Rfam family: Bacterial small subunit ribosomal RNA
Source: RNAcentral
AUUGAACGCUGGCGGCAGGCCUAACACAUGCAAGUCGAGCGGAUGAAGGGAGCUUGCUCCUGGAUUCAGCGGCGGACGGGUGAGUAAUGCCUAGGAAUCUGCCUGGUAGUGGGGGAUAACGUCCGGAAACGGGCGCUAAUACCGCAUACGUCCUGAGGGAGAAAGUGGGGGAUCUUCGGACCUCACGCUAUCAGAUGAGCCUAGGUCGGAUUAGCUAGUUGGUGGGGUAAAGGCCUACCAAGGCGACGAUCCGUAACUGGUCUGAGAGGAUGAUCAGUCACACUGGAACUGAGACACGGUCCAGACUCCUACGGGAGGCAGCAGUGGGGAAUAUUGGACAAUGGGCGAAAGCCUGAUCCAGCCAUGCCGCGUGUGUGAAGAAGGUCUUCGGAUUGUAAAGCUCUUUAAGUUGGGAGGAAGAGCAGUAAGUUAAUACCUUGCUGUUUUGACGUUACCAACAGAAUAAGCACCGGCUAACUUCGUG